GGAAUCUGUUGGAAGCAUUUUAUGGUGAGUUUCAAUUCCUAUGCAACUUGUAGUGAAAAAUAUGGCUAUGUGAAGUAUAUACAUCAUAUCUUAUAAAAUUGCGCACAGAGAGGGUUGGUGGGUGGGUUACUUUCAUGAUUUUAGCAGGAAGUUUGAAGUGAUUAAUUACUAAAACUUACUUCUGUUAGUGAUAAUAUUGUAACACUCUCCCCAGCAUGAAUCCCAUAUUUUUGAGAAAACAAGAUGAGAUCCCAGCCUUCCUCCUACCAAAGUGAUAAUAGCUUGAAAUUCAUGGGUUGGGUAACUUAUGCUUGGGAACUAGAAUUAGGAAAUCUUGUACGGCAAAGUAGAAAGAUGAUGAAAUCAGAAUUGGUUUUU
RNAcentral lists this unclassified non-coding RNA (378 nucleotides) under Hevea brasiliensis (rubber tree). Lineage: Eukaryota; Viridiplantae; Streptophyta; Magnoliopsida; Malpighiales; Euphorbiaceae. The record is from RNAcentral.